This 670-nucleotide long non-coding RNA is filed under the name Ananas comosus (pineapple). Its description in RNAcentral is "long non-coding RNA (ACOM_LNC014297)". The record is from RNAcentral. Lineage: Eukaryota; Viridiplantae; Streptophyta; Magnoliopsida; Poales; Bromeliaceae.
AUAAAAAAACAAUGGAGUUGGAUUUAAAAUUUAAAAUAAUAAUAAUAUUUAAAUUAAAUAUAAUAUUGUCAUAUGAUCAGUGGCAUUUAAGGGUAAAUAUAAUAUCUAUUCGAGUAAUAGAUAUAAAUUAAGUUAUAAGCGGGGAUUAGAUCAAUUUUGCGUUUGGAUGAAAAUUGAAUUAUUCCUGAGAUUAAAAUAUAAUGAAAUUACCCGAUUAUUAUAGUUCAUACACAUAAAAAAGUUGAUCAAGAAGGCUAAGAAAUGGGAGAUUUCGCCGGACAUGAUGGAUGUGUCCGAGUUAGAGAUCGAGAAAUUUUAGUGUGAAUUCUCUUCUGAAGCUUCGAAGCUUGCUAAAGAGUUUGAAAGUUUUCAAUAAGAGUAUCAGCAUAUAACCGACCAUCCCUAGAGCAAGCGGCAAAGGGCUUGGUGGUUGGUAUUCGAGACCCAAGUUCGAAUCCUAGUUGAUUCACAUUUUCAACUAAGUUUAUUUCUAAAUGAAAUAAAUGAAGCAGAUAGCGUGCUACCUAUCUCUCUCAAAAAAAAAAAAAGUAUCAGCAUAUAUGUUGCUGAAAAUUGCACUACAUUUUAUGUUUUAAAUAAAUAAAAAAUUACACUAUAUUAAUUUUCAUUUUAUGUUUUAAAUUAAAUAAAUAAAAAAUUACACUACAUU